UACGGGGGGAGCAAGCGUUGUUCGGAUUUACUGGGCGUAAAGGGCGCGUAGGCGGUCAGCACAAGUCAGUUGUGAAAUUUCGGAGCUUAACUCCGAAACUGCAUUUGAUACUGGCGUGCUUGAGGACUGGAGAGGAGACUGGAAUUCACGGUGUAGCAGUGAAAUGCGUAGAUAUCGUGAGGAAGACCAGUGGCGAAGGCGGGUCUCUGGACAGUUCCUGACACUGAGGCACGAAGGCCAGGGGAGCAAACGGG
Molecule: ribosomal RNA, 254 nt
Filed under: uncultured bacterium
Lineage: Bacteria
Description: partial 16S ribosomal RNA
Rfam family: Bacterial small subunit ribosomal RNA
Source: RNAcentral